UAGGCUUGACAUGCAUGGGAGGCUCCUCGUUUCUGAGGAGUUUCCCAUGCAUGUCAAGCCUAGGUAAGGUUCUUCGCGUUGCGUCGAAUUAAACCACAUGCUCCACCGCUUGUGCGGGCCCCCGUCAAUUCCUUUGAGUUUCAGCCUUGCGGCCGUACUCCCCAGGCGGGGUACUUCCUGCGUUAGCGCCGGCACCCAAGGGGUCGCUCCCCCAGGCACCUAGUACCCAUCGUUUACGGCGUGGACUAC
Molecule: unclassified non-coding RNA, 249 nt
Filed under: uncultured Gemmatimonadaceae bacterium
Lineage: Bacteria; Pseudomonadati; Gemmatimonadota; Gemmatimonadia; Gemmatimonadales; Gemmatimonadaceae
Description: contains 16S-23S intergenic spacer region
Source: RNAcentral